GUACUCCGGGGAUAACAGGCUGAUACCGCCCAAGAGUUCAUAUCGACGGCGGUGUUUGGCACCUCGAUGUCGGCUCAUCACAUCCUGGGGCUGAAGUAGGUCCCAAGGGUAUGGCUGUUCGCCAUUUAAAGUGGUACGCGAGCUGGGUUUAGAACGUCGUGAGACAGUUCGGUCCCUAUCUGCCGUGGGCGCUGGAGAACUGAGGGGGGCUGCUCCUAGUACGAGAGGACCGGAGUGGACGCAUCACUGGUGUUCGGGUUGUCAUGCCAAUGGCACUGCCCGGUAGCUAAAUGCGGAAGAGAUAAGUGCUGAAAGCAUCUAAGCACGAAACUUGCCCCGAGAUGAGUUCUCCCUGACUCCUUGAGAGUCCUGAAGGAACGUUGAAGACGACGACGUUGAUAGGCCGGGUGUGUAAGCGCAGCGAUGCGUUGAGCUAACCGGUACUAAUGAACCGUGAGGCUUAACCUUACAACGCCGAAGGUGUUU
This 486-nucleotide ribosomal RNA is filed under the name Shigella flexneri. Its description in RNAcentral is "partial 23S ribosomal RNA". It matches the Rfam family "Bacterial large subunit ribosomal RNA", at positions 2463 to 2925 of the family's 2925-position model. Lineage: Bacteria; Pseudomonadati; Pseudomonadota; Gammaproteobacteria; Enterobacterales; Enterobacteriaceae. The record is from RNAcentral.